This 8877-nucleotide long non-coding RNA is filed under the name Hordeum vulgare. RNAcentral's name for it is "long non-coding RNA (HVUL_LNC018007)". The record is from RNAcentral. Lineage: Eukaryota; Viridiplantae; Streptophyta; Magnoliopsida; Poales; Poaceae.
CCGCGGCUAUUUUAAGGAGCGUGCCCGAGCCCCUCCCUUGAUCUGCAAGCCCAGCCCCUCCCAAGCUCGUUGGAGCAACCACCCCUGCCCAAUUUGGCAGCUCCGGACGCCAUUGCCUCCGUCAGUCCUGCUCAAAGUCGAGCUAGCGGUGACUCCCCUGACCCUCUUUUCCCCUCUAGAAGAACCACCAGAGCCCCUCGAGCCCUCCCCUAUCCUCGUUCCAUCCCUGGGUCAUUCGUGGCCUCGCCUUCGAAUCUGGCCGGAGCCCUCACCCGCGGGAGCCUACGUCGUCGCCGCUCGGAUCCUCGUCGCCGCCCAUGCUCUAGUAGGACGGAGGCGGCGUCCUCUCCUGAGCACGCCGGUGGCCGAGGCGCUUCGGGGGAUGGCCGGAGCCGUCGGGGGCCAGCGCCGGUGCCGCGCAGCCUCUCCUCUGCCUUCUCUGCCGCGGGAGGAAGAAGAAAGAGGAGGAGAGAGAGCGACUCGACAGGUGGGCCCUAACCCCACCUGUCGGUGAGAGGAGGUCUGAUACCGCUGGAUAAGUGGAUGCGUAACGCUAGUAAUGCGCUUUCCUUUUUGGAAAGCGUAUUUCCAGAGAAGGCGCCAUCAGUUUUUCCAGCUAGGACUUGAUAGUAAAUAUUUUAAUUGCAGAUCGGUCCUUCUACUUCAAACACCCAUAGCUUUUCAUCCAUAGCUCCGAUUAAGGUGAUUCCAACGCCCACGUCUUCGUCUCGUCGAGCCCUUCAUGUUGGUAUCAUUUUCAUUAUGUGUUCACAUUCUCAAAAUGACCAUGUUGCCCUUGCCCUUCUAUCAACCUUCUUCGAGAGAGAAUAGUUCCUGGCGAUCCUUUCUGCGGACUCUCCGCACUUCUUCCGGGAGUAUUCUUCUACCCCAUGCAAGCCAACCAUCUGAUAUAUGCCCUAAAGCAUUGCUCUGUGUUUUUCUUGUGUGUUUAAUUAAUGAUAUGCUUGUGGUAGAAAUAAUUAAACUCCCGCCAUUUCGAUAUUGUCAUUUACAUUACCUGCUACUGCUCAUCUUAUCAUUGCAUUCAUGACUUGUCGUGAUGGAUGGUUAUGUUUUUAUCAUGCUUAGCUACUACCAUCUCAAGUUAUUAUGAUAAACAACCAUGCUUGUUAAACACUUGCUAUGGCUAAACCUAGUCGGUUGAUCUAGAGUCACCUAUCGGGGCUUAUCCGUGCAACCACAUUUGCCGGUAUGGGACGAACUUGACUUGGUCUGAUCGUGUGCUCUUCCACCGGUACCACCAGACAGGGAAGGUUAUGCGCGCGCGCUACCUUGACCCGGUAGGCGGCGAUAACCUUGUGAGCCAGUUGAUUGUUUUGUGCCAGCGUCCCCGUUUGGGACAAUUUUGUUUGGCCACGACGGUGAAAGGUGUCAUGAGGACACAGGGGCCACCCAAGGCAGGACUCCGGGUGAGGAUGAAUGCCGGUGGUACGAUGGAAGAGGUACGGGUCAGGCAGGUUUCGUUGGAGCAACACAGGUCCAUCCGAAUGGGAUAACGAGGUCAGUGCUCCAUCGUGUGGGUAAAGUGUGCAACCUCUGCGGAGUGUAAAAUUUAUUAGAAUAGCCGUGUCCAGGGUAUUGGACAUCCCGUCUAGACCUCACUAGGUUGUCAACUGUAAAGGUGAUAAUAAUGAUGGAAGAACUCGUCUUGUGCAGACAUCCGAUGAUGUCAGGAAUAUGAUAUGUUAGCCAUGGGAUGGCUAUGAGAUGGGUGGACGGAUGACCACAUGAGUUGGAUUAGAUUUGGAUCAGAUUGAGAUUGGAUCGUCAUGACAUUCAGAGUAUAAAUCAUUUACUUAAUAUGCUUUACCUUAUCGUAUUUACUUUAGUAGUUAUCUUGCUAGAUAGUCCUAUUAUAUCAUGAUAUUUAAUCCUGCUAGAUAGGUAAGCUAUGCCAUGAUAAUUAACAUUGCUCUAAUAACAAGUGCAUGCUUGAAUGCCAUAGAUUGCAUUGCUUAGUGUAUAUGUUAGUUCGGUUUGCUUGCGAGUACAUUCAAAAGUACUUAGCGGCUUUUAACAUGGCCAGGUUCACGUAAGGAUCCAUCGUCCGCCAUCGAGGAACCGGAGCCUUCACGGGCUAGGAGAGUAACUAUUGGGGAUAUUAUCUGUUGGGUAACCCGCCCUAGUUGGGCCGGGUCACCCAAGUUGGCGACUCAUCUCCAAGUGGUUCCGGCCUUGGUCCAGCAAGGCCGGGAGUCGUAUGGCGGUUCAGGACCUUUGGGAGAAGUCCAUAGUAGAGAAGAUCUCCGAGUCUUGGAAAGAUGGCGAUUUAGAGAUCGGAAGAAUCACGAUUUGUGUAAAGGAAAGGACCCUUGUAAGCCCUAAGGACUCGACCUGUAUAUAAAGGCGAGUCCCCGGGAAGGAGAAGGCAGGUUAGAAAUCAUCGAGUGCUAGGUCAGGCGAGUUACGCCCCCUUGUAAUCGAAACAUCAUCAAUACAAACUCCAAGCAGGACGUAGGCUUUUACCUCCUCACGAGGGGCCGAACCUGGGUAAAUCUCUUUCUCGCUCCCACAUAACCCCUUUGAGUCGCCACCAAGGUGCGAUGUCUCCAACACUAAGUCCUUUCACGAGGACAUCUGCCGUGACAAAACCACGAUAGUAACUGAGUCAGAUCCCUGUGGAUUGGAGCCACACCAAGACCAUGUUGCCUUAGAUAGAGUUUUUCCGCUGCCAUCACCCUUGUAGUAUAUCAUGUAAGACUCAUAUAUCCAUUAAUAGAAAUGCCUGUGUUCAUGAUACUUGUUGUAAACGUGCAUGCCAGAGUGAUUUCCUGGGCUGGUAUGCGCGGCGACUGGCUGGCUACAGUGAUAAUCAAGCGGGGCGCCACAAGCAAUGGUAUCAGAGCAGCCAGGUUGACUGUAGGUUACGCUAGCCAGACUUCAUUGUCUUGUGUUCAGUAGAAGGCCCAGAUGGAUUUCAUCCAUCUUUGCCACCUCGCACGGCUACUAUUGAUCAUAAGGCAACCCCAUAGGUUUUCGGCUCCAUCAGACCCUAACUCUCAUGGCCUUUGCCUCCGAUGUGAAAUACUCGCACCCGACAACGACCCGUGAGCCCUGAAACCACUAGGUAAACCAGAUAUCCUUACCCCUUCUUGCUAGCCAUGACAUUUCUCUCCUUACUCUAGUUUCCUUUGGGAGACGCUUAUAAAUUCCAUCUUUCCCCGAUAACCCUAGAAUCGUUGACUAAGCCAUUUUGGCUAUGGUCCUGUGUCGAGAGUGAUGUUCUCUAAGGAAGUAGUAGGAGCUUGACACCAGUGCUACCAGGAGCAUUGUGUGGUUUUGCUUCUAAAUCCUUAGAGAUGCAUCGAGUGUGAUAUAAUAGUUAUACUAGUGAACCUUCGGCCAUGUGUGUAAGGUCCGCAACAUUUUAGCUUUAUCUGCUUUUUGGUUUUUCACGGUUCUUGUUUCUUCUGUCGAUUAUGUUUCUCCGCUCCGACUGGAUCCAUCUGCAAGAUUUGUCUAAGAAGAUCAACAUGCAAACGGGAUAAUACCCAAUAAUCCCCAUUUCAACAAAAGUCAAGCCAUGCCAACUGCCUGAUAUUAUGAACAUUACCACCGUAUCUGUCAAGAAUUAAGAAUGGGCCGGAAGCAGAAUCGUGUGCAACAGAAAAGGCCAGAAUAUACCUAAGAGACUUGGCCUUAGAACCGUUCAUACCCAAGGAAGCAUUCAGGAGAGCUACUAAGAAUGAACAUCAGUAGGGACAAAUUAUUCAGUCCGCGAUACAAGGAUUAUUGUAGUUAAGUAAUGUGAACCCUGAGUCUUCUCUCCAUGGACCCAUAAAACCAUCUAUUACCCAUCGAGGACCAUGUUUCAAGAAUGUGAAUAAGCCAAAACCAGCAACAAAACUCCGGUACGUUGGUACAAAUUUCAAAGCAUAUUUUGAAGUUCACCAGUACAAAUACAAAGUUUUGUGGACACUGUGAACAAGGUUUGCAAGGAACAUGGAUAAGUUUAAGGUUGCUAGAAUCAAUGAGAACUUCACAUGCUUGGAAGCUCAACUGAACCAAAUGGAAUCAUCUCUCAACUGCUUACUAUCGGCAACACCGGGUUGAAUGCAAAGCGUAUUCUGAAUUGGUUAAAGACAUGAGGUCUGCGUCAGUCAUGCAACCUUUACAUCAACAGUAAUCAGACCAGCACAAGGACAAGCGAUGUGCAUGACCAAUGGAAUAUCUCCAGUCAAGGUAUGGCCUAUAUCAUGUUGUGGCUCUGCUAUGGGUAAAAUUCCGGAUACUUCAAAAGGAAGCCAGAACCAGCCCUAGAUCUGACGAUACAUCACAGCAAAAGGCUUCUAGUAUAAGGAACCCAACCUUCCCCCACAAGCUACCAAGAAGAGCUUACUGCCAAUCCUCCUUGGUACGCCCCUCGGUGAGAGAUCCUUAUGGGAUACGUCACUCCCAUCUUCCAUAGCGUGCUACCGCGAAAAAUUUCCGACAUUAGGAACCCGACUUUUAGCAGUAAGGCACAUGAAGGAAAACUUUUGAGGUAUGGUACCCAGCCUUCUUCAGCUCGCUACUCUAGCAGAAGCUUUGAGCAUAAGGAAUUCAGUCUUCGCCAUCGUGCCUACAAUAAGUGUGUCAUAAGCAAGAACUAGUCUGGACACACAUUCGCCUCAGAACUUAGUGGUUAUGAAAGGAUUUAUCCUACACCUGCAUAUAUUGAGAGCAUGUAGUCCAGUGGAUCAGUUCAUACAAGCCACUCGUACAUGGGAAUGACUGCGUUCAGAGAAACGUUGGCCCCCUGUUUAAAAGAAGAAUAUGAGCACAUCAACCCCUACGAGAUAUGCAAGAGUAAGUUGUGAAAACAAGCCAACACAUAGGGAAAACAAUCAACGAAUAGUGUUGGCAGGACAUGAAAAGUACAUCAAAGGAACCUUCAAGAACAGAAGAAGUUGUGGACAAACAACCUCCGUGACGGUCAACAAGAUACAACUUCACAGAAAGAGAGGUAUUACUAGUUCUUGUCAGGCUGUUGCAUAUGCGGCCACAACAAUGCACUACUUACGGUUACAAGUGAGUUUGCCGCACUCAUCAUGAAUAUGGGCCAUCAACCCAGAUAAGAGGCUAUGCCCUAAAAGAUACACCAAAUGAUAGCCAUACUAGGCACAUAUCAGUGGUCACAGCAAGGACUACAGAGGCUAUAUAUGACAGAGCCAUCUCCACGAGCAACAAAGUCUGAACAAGACAUUAAGGUAGAAUGGCUCAAGGUACAUCAACAUCAACAUCUCAUAGACAUCAUGACAUCAUUGGAAUAAGAGACUACUGUAUAUGAUUAUUUUUUGACCAUGCCUGACAUUUCAGUUGAGGAUAUAGCAACCAUAGUUCAGUCAUGAUUCCUGGAAUUAUAGAUCACCUAAGGGCAAAGUCAGAAUGCCUAAGGCAAAAGGAAACACCACAAUAGAACCCACAGCCCGACUGAGCAUUCUGACACAACAAAAAGAAAGCCACUCCUAGUCACUCAAGACCAUAAAGCACAUGAGCCUGGUACCAGGAAAGGAUGUAGUACCCAUGAUAGUUAGGGUAUGAAGCAUUACAAUAAAGCCGAAGCAGAUACUUCGAGGCCCUGGAACUAAGAUGAUAGUUGGUAGUACCCGCUACCCCACCCCGCAACACCACUAUCAGAAUAAAGGGUACACCUGACAGGAAAGAGAAGGAUUCAAGAAAGCUAUGUGCAGAGACAACAACGGGUCCCUCCGGAGAGUUAGUUUAAAAGGCCAGUGAAACAAGGAAGACAAGAUCGCCGAUGGAUCCAAGUCGCACACAGGUAAGUCCCCCUUUCCCGGGAGGUAAGCCUGGAAAUCUCGAGGAUGAGAUUUUCUUAAGGGGGGUAGGUUUGUAACACCCUCGUUUUCGCUCCCUGUUUUUUUUUCAUUUGCGGGAUUUGACUCCCGUCUUUUUUCUCGGUGUUAUCAAAUUUCUUUCACUCCUGGGUAUAUGAAGAUGUUCAUCUAUCCUUGCCUUGCCCAUCCAACCAAAGAUUCUCCUUAGUUCAACCUGGCCACCCAAGAUCUUUUCUCAGGGUUUUGCCAUCAAAACCCUACCUUUUGAGUUGCCGAAAGGGAAACCCUAAUCCUUCGAGUAACAAAGGAACCCCAAUUUCCUUUGCCUUGUUGCCUCCCAAACUUUUCCCAGUGAUCAUCCUUCAUCUUUAAAUCCUGGAUAUGCAAAAAUAUUGCCAAGUCAUUUGCAAUAUUUUCCAUUUAUAAUUAAUUCCUUUUUCUGUCAGUUGAAGGAAUUAAAUCCAGGAAAAUAUCUAUCCAUCUCCAAAGUUCAUGAAAACUUGUAGAGAUAUUUCUUGUGAUCAUAUUGAGCUCCCAUAAAAUAUUGGCCAUUAUUAAAUGAGGGAAAAUUUCCUUUUUUCCUAUUUAAUGCCAAUAUUGCAUUUUCGGCACUUUCUAAAGGAACUACCAUUUUGGUAGCCACGAAAAUUCCCGAAUAAAUUGUGGAGCUUCUCCUAUCUAUAUAUUCUACAUUUCCAUCAAUAUCCCAAGUUUCAUAGUUCAAAUUUUGAGCACAACAUCCCUUUGCAAAUUCUGUCCAUAUUUCCUGUCUAUAAAAGAAGUGCUUGAUUCCUUGAUCUCCUUGAGCUAAAAAAUUUCAUGGUGGUUAACAUUGCCAAAUCACUCAUGGAAAACAAAAAUCAGCUCAAUCCCUCUAUCAAUCUUCUCCCAGGAGUUUUUCCAAGUUCCCGUCCAUUUGAAAGCACUGUGAAGGAAGUACCAUUUUGGUGUCUCCAAAUGGUAUGAAACUUUUACAGUAGCUUCAUUUACUCAAAUAACUUCUCUCCACCAAAUUUGAUACAUUGUCAUCUAGCCAUUUGACCCCAACAUCUCCAUUUCCAGUUCUGGUCAGACUGCCAAGUUGCAAAGGGAGUACCAUCUAGAUUGGUUAAUUGGAGCUGAGAUUUUUCCAACUUAGUCACCUUAGUUGAUGGAUAACCCUUGAGAGAGAUCUUUCCAAGAGGUGCACUGUGGUGGCCACAACACAUCACAAACAGGUUGUUCUUAGCAACUGUUUGACCUUGGCCGAGUCACCUCAGAACCCUCUAGAGGCACUCAGCUGCAUGGGUCAACUCAGUGAAGCAAGGAGAAGGCCCCACGCAUCGUUUGGAUGCGAGUGGGGUGUGGAGAGGCCAUGGACACGCGGUGACCACAGGCAGAACGUGCCAAAUGUGUGCCCUGUGCACCAGAGGCAUCCAGAGUCGUCCCUUGCCGGUUUUAUCCUGUCCUCGGGUGUCGGCGAGCUCCCGAUUGCAUGCGUGAUCCAUCUAGAGGCUUCUCCCCCUCGUUUCCUAGGUGGGGAAGCGGUGUGGAGACGCGGUCGCGGCAUCACGUAGCUCGAAGCUUCGGUCGCCGGCGAGCACCACCGCGAACCUUCUCUCCGCGGCUAUUUAAGGAGCGUGCCCGAGCGCCUCCCCUCAUUAGCAAGCCCAACCCCUCCCAAGCUCGUUGGAGCAACCACCCCUGCCCAAUUUGGUAGCUCCGGCCGCCAUUGCCGCCGUCUGUCCUGCUCAAAUUCGAGCUAGCGGUGACUCCCCUGACCCUCUUUUCCCUUCUAGAAGAACCACCAGAGCCCCUCGAGCCCUCCCCUAUCCUCGUUCCGUCCCUGGGUCAUUCGUGGCCUCGCCUCCGAAUCUAGGCGGAGCCCUAACCUGCGGGAGCCUACGCCAUCGCGGCUCGGAUCCUCAUCGCCGCCCAUGCUCUAGUAGGACGGAGGCGGCGUCCUCUCCUGAGCACGCUGGUGGAUGAGGCGCUUCGGGGGAUGGUCAGAGCCGUCAGGGGCCAGUGCCGACACCGCGCGACCUCUCUUCUGCCUUCUAUGUCGCGGGAGGAAGAAGAAAGAGGAGGAGAGAGAGAGCUACCGGACAGGUGGGCCCUGACCCCACUUGUCGAUGAGAGGAGGCCUGGUCCCGCUGGAUAAGUGGAUGCGCAAAGCUAGUAAUGCGCUUUCCUUUUUGGAAAGCAUAUUUCCAGAGAAGGCGCCAUCAGUUUUUCCUGCCAGGACCUGAGAGUAAAUAUUUUAAUUGCAGAUUGGUCCUUCUACUUCAAACACCCAUAUAUUUUCAUCCGUAGCUCCGAUUGAGGUGAUUCCAACGCCCACAUCUUCGUCUCGUGGAGCCCUUCAUGUUGGUAUAAUUUUCAUUAUGUGUUCACAUUAUGAAAAUGAGCAUGUUGCGCUUGCCCUUCUAUCAGCCUUCUUCGAGAGAGAAUAGUUCCCGACGAUCCUUUCCGCGGACUCUCCGCACUUCUUCCGGGAGUAUUCUUCAACCCCAGGCAAGCCGACCAUCUGAUAUAUGACUUAAAGCAUUGCUCUGUGUUAUUCUUGUGUGUUUAAUUAAUUAUAUGCUUGUGCUAGAAAUAAUUAAUCUCCCUCCAUUUCUAUAUUGUCAUUUACAUUACCUGCUACUGAUCAUCUUAUCAUUGCAAUAAUGACUUGUCGUGAUAGAUGGUUAUGUUUUUAUCAUGCUUAACUACUACCAUCUCAAGUUAUUAUGAUAAACAACCAUGCUUGUUAAAUACUUGCUAAGGCUAAACCUAGUCGGUUGAUCAAGAGUCACCUAUCCGGGCUUAUCCAUGCAUCCACAUUUGCCUAUAUGGGACGGCCUUGACUUGGUCUGAUCGUGUGCUCUUCCACCGGUACCACCAGACAGCGAAGGCUAUGCGCGCAUGCUACCUUGGCCGAGUAGGCAGCGAUAACCUUGUGAGCCAGUUGAUUGUUUUGUGGCGGCGUCCCCGUUUGGGACAGUUUAGUUUGGCCACGACGGUGGCAGAUGUCAUGAGGACACAGGGGCCACCUACGGAAGGACUCCGGGGGAGGAUGAAUGCCGGUGGUACGAUGGAAGAGUCACGGGUCAGGCAG